GGGAACAUACCCUUUUCUACGGAAUAGCUCUGGGAAACUGGAAUUAAUACCGUAUACGCCCUACGGGGGAAAGAUUUAUCGGGGAAGGAUUGGCCCGCGUUGGAUUAGCUAGUUGGUGGGGUAAAGGCCUACCAAGGCGACGAUCCAUAGCUGGUCUGAGAGGAUGAUCAGCCACAUUGGGGCUGAGACACGGCCCAAACUCCUACGGGAGGCAGCAGUGGGGAAUAUUGGACAAUGGGCGCAAGCCUGAUCCAGCCAUGCCGCGUGAGUGAUGAAGGCCUUAGGGUUGUAAAGCUCUUUCACCGAUGAAGAUAAUGACGGUAGUCGGAGAAGAAGCCCCGGCUAACUUCGUGCCAGCAGCCGCGGUAAUACGAAGGGGGCUAGCGUUGUUCGGAAUUACUGGGCGUAAAGCGCACGUAGGCGGAUAUUUAAGUCAGGGGUGAAAUCCCAGAGCUCAACUCUGGAACUGCCUUUGAUACUGGGUAUCUUGAGUAUGGAAGAGGUAAGUGGAAUUGCGAGU
Molecule: ribosomal RNA, 520 nt
Filed under: uncultured bacterium
Lineage: Bacteria
Description: bacterial SSU rRNA
Rfam family: Bacterial small subunit ribosomal RNA
Source: RNAcentral